Long non-coding RNA from Stomoxys calcitrans (stable fly), 606 nucleotides. RefSeq lists it as uncharacterized. The record is from RefSeq and is a predicted model, not a curated record. Lineage: Eukaryota; Metazoa; Arthropoda; Insecta; Diptera; Muscidae. The transcript has 3 exons.
CUUUGUAAUAGCCAAUUGCUUUGUGAUUUGCUACACCUUACCCCAAAAGCCAACGUCAAAGACGAAUUUGUGCGACGGAAUCCCACGGCUUUGUUUCUUUUUUGUUGUUGCUCAACAUAAACUUUUCCUUGAAAUGUUGAGAAGGCAAAACUAAUUAAAUGCGGAUAAUUGCUUUUUUGUAUCAUUAAAUGUAUUAAAAGAAUUUUUCUUUUAUCGUUUUUAGAUUCUUUUUUUUCAUGCUUUGUAUUUUGUUGUGUGAGCCUUGUACAUUGUAAAGGCAGGGGAACAACAAGGAUAAAUAGCGAGCGACAGAAAAUGUUAUUAAUGUCAAAGCAACGGACGCACCAUGGAGGUUUACAGAAAGAAUGUUUUAGAGACAGCAGUUUACUGUACAAAUCGCAAAAAAGGCGGCAAAAGGUUGACACUUUGCGAAUUAAGUUUAUCUAGCUAAUCAUAGCACAUAGUUGAGCCAUUACUGCAAAUUUCGGGGCAAACUGAUAGCAAUGUCAUCUUCUGCAGAUAUUUGAGCAAAUAACAGGCCAACGCAGAUGCCAAUGGGGUGAUACGGAUAGAAUAUCCACUUAUGACCCCAAACGCCUAUCAUCG